Molecule: long non-coding RNA, 450 nt
Filed under: Mytilus galloprovincialis (Mediterranean mussel)
Lineage: Eukaryota; Metazoa; Mollusca; Bivalvia; Mytilida; Mytilidae
Source: RNAcentral
CGGUCAAUCGGUUGUUGGGUUGCUGCCCCUGAAUUGGUAAUUUUGAAGAAAUUUUGCUGUUUUUGGUUAUUAUCUUGAAUAUUAUUAUAGAUAGAGAUAAACUGUAAACAACAAUAAUGUUCAGCAAAGUAAGAUCUACAAAUAAGUCAACAUGACCAAAAUGGUCAGUUGACCCGUUUAGGAGUUAUUGCCCUUUAUAGUCAAUUUUUAACCAUUUUUUGUAAAUUAAAGUAAUCUUUUACAAAAAUCUUCUCCUCUGAAACUACUGGGCCAAAUUAAUCCAAACUUGGCCACAAUCAUCUUUGGGGUAUCUAGUUUAAAAAAUGUGUGGCGUGACCUGGUCAACCAACCAAGAUGGCCGCCACGGCUAAAAAUAGAACAUAGGGGUAAAAUGCAGUUUUUGGCUUAUAACUCAAAAACCAAAGCAUUUUGAGGAAAUCUGACAUGGGA